Molecule: ribosomal RNA, 253 nt
Filed under: uncultured bacterium
Lineage: Bacteria
Description: partial 16S ribosomal RNA
Rfam family: Bacterial small subunit ribosomal RNA
Source: RNAcentral
UACGUAGGUGGCGAGCGUUGUCCGGAUUUACUGGGCGUAAAGCGCGCGCAGGCGGCCGGCCAAGUCCGAUGUGAAAUCUUCCGGCUUAACUGGAAAACGGCAUCGGAUACUGGUCGGCUGGAAGGUGGGAGAGGGUAGCGGAAUUCCCGGUGUAGUGGUGAAAUGCGUAGAUAUCGGGAGGAACACCAGUGGCGAAAGCGGCUACCUGGCCCACUCUUGACGCUGAGGCGCGAAAGCUAGGGGAGCGAACGGG